GGCAGCAUGGCCGAGUGGUCUAAGGCGGUAGACUUGAAUUUCCUAAAAGGAAAACAGCAGUUUUCUUAAGGAACCUAAUCUACUCUCUUCGGAGGCGUGUGUUCGAACCACACUGCUGUCG
Molecule: transfer RNA, 121 nt
Filed under: Aspergillus ustus
Lineage: Eukaryota; Fungi; Ascomycota; Eurotiomycetes; Eurotiales; Aspergillaceae
Rfam family: tRNA
About the family: Transfer RNA (tRNA) molecules are approximately 80 nucleotides in length. Their secondary structure includes four short double-helical elements and three loops (D, anti-codon, and T loops). Further hydrogen bonds mediate the characteristic L-shaped molecular structure. tRNAs have two regions of fundamental functional importance: the anti-codon, which is responsible for specific mRNA codon recognition, and the 3' end, to which the tRNAs corresponding amino acid is attached (by aminoacyl-tRNA synthetases). tRNAs cope with the degeneracy of the genetic code in two manners: having more than one tRNA (with a specific anti-codon) for a particular amino acid; and 'wobble' base-pairing, i.e. permitting non-standard base-pairing at the 3rd anti-codon position.
Source: Rfam by way of RNAcentral